AGGGCCAUUUUGACAAAACAUGCA
RNAcentral lists this microRNA (24 nucleotides) under Gossypium raimondii (Peruvian cotton). RNAcentral's name for it is "gra-miR8699". The record is from miRBase by way of RNAcentral. Lineage: Eukaryota; Viridiplantae; Streptophyta; Magnoliopsida; Malvales; Malvaceae.